RNAcentral lists this ribosomal RNA (253 nucleotides) under uncultured bacterium. Its description in RNAcentral is "partial 16S ribosomal RNA". It matches the Rfam family "Bacterial small subunit ribosomal RNA", at positions 524 to 776 of the family's 1533-position model. The record is from RNAcentral.
UACGUAGGGUGCAAGCGUUAAUCGGAAUUACUGGGCGUAAAGCGUGCGCAGGCGGUGUUGUAAGUCAGAUGUGAAAUCCCCGGGCUCAACCUGGGAACUGCAUUUGUGACUGCAUCGCUGGAGUACGGCAGAGGGGGAUGGAAUUCCGCGUGUAGCAGUGAAAUGCGUAGAUAUGCGGAGGAACACCGAUGGCGAAGGCAAUCCCCUGGGCCUGUACUGACGCUCAUGCACGAAAGCGUGGGGAGCAAACAGG